RNAcentral lists this ribosomal RNA (217 nucleotides) under uncultured bacterium. RNAcentral describes it as "partial 16S ribosomal RNA". It matches the Rfam family "Bacterial small subunit ribosomal RNA", at positions 327 to 535 of the family's 1533-position model. The record is from RNAcentral.
GGAUCGCCCUUCCUACGGGAGGCAGCAGUGGGGAAUUUUGGACAAUGGGGGAAACCCUGAUCCAGCCAUGCCGCGUGAGUGAAGAAGGCCUUCGGGUUGUAAAGCUCUUUCAGCCGGAAAGAAAUCGCACUGGUUAAUACCUUGUGUGGAUGACGGUACCGGAAGAAGAAGCACCGGCUAACUACGUGCCAGCAGCCGCGGUAAUAAGGGCGAUCCC